This 118-nucleotide ribosomal RNA is filed under the name Aspergillus viridinutans. Lineage: Eukaryota; Fungi; Ascomycota; Eurotiomycetes; Eurotiales; Aspergillaceae. The record is from RNAcentral.
ACAUACAACCAUAGGGUGUGGAAAACAGGGCUUCCCGUCCGCUCAGCCGUACUUAAGCCACACGCCGGCCGGUUAGUAGUUGGGUGGGUGACCACCAGCGUCCCGGCUGUUGUAUGUU